This 107-nucleotide ribosomal RNA is filed under the name Erwinia amylovora. RNAcentral describes it as "partial 23S ribosomal RNA". It matches the Rfam family "Bacterial large subunit ribosomal RNA", at positions 1 to 106 of the family's 2925-position model. The record is from RNAcentral. Lineage: Bacteria; Pseudomonadati; Pseudomonadota; Gammaproteobacteria; Enterobacterales; Erwiniaceae.
GGUUAAGCGACUAAGCGUACACGGUGGAUGCCCAGGCAGUCAGAGGCGAUGAAGGGCGUGCUAAUCUGCGAUAAGCGUCGGUAAGGUGAUAUGAACCGCAAUACCCG